CCUGCUUGGUGCGUGAUGUGUCCUUUUGGACCCACAUUUUUUAAUCGGGACGCCGAACUUCCCGAUCGGUUUGCAGACCUCCCGCCUGCGCUUUGACGACAGGCGGAUGUUGGGAGCAGUGAAGAUCCGGAGAGGCGACCCACCUGCCUUUUCGUGCAGGUCAUAAUCGGACGCACACGGCCAAAGCGGGGCUUUC
This 196-nucleotide non-coding RNA is filed under the name Oscillospiraceae bacterium. RNAcentral describes it as "partial 6S RNA". It matches the Rfam family "6S / SsrS RNA". From Rfam's summary of the family: E. coli 6S RNA was the first non coding RNA to be sequenced, but its function was unknown until recently. It consists of 184 nucleotides that fold into an extended hairpin structure with a large single-stranded internal bulge. The 6S RNA specifically associates with RNA polymerase holoenzyme containing the sigma70 specificity factor. Lineage: Bacteria; Bacillati; Bacillota; Clostridia; Eubacteriales; Oscillospiraceae. The record is from RNAcentral.